GAGGGUGUGGCUCAGUGGUAGAGUACAUGCUUGGCAUGCAAGAGGUCCUGGGUUCAAUCCCCAGUACCUACA
RNAcentral lists this transfer RNA (72 nucleotides) under Camelus bactrianus (Bactrian camel). It matches the Rfam family "tRNA". Rfam says of the family: Transfer RNA (tRNA) molecules are approximately 80 nucleotides in length. Their secondary structure includes four short double-helical elements and three loops (D, anti-codon, and T loops). Further hydrogen bonds mediate the characteristic L-shaped molecular structure. tRNAs have two regions of fundamental functional importance: the anti-codon, which is responsible for specific mRNA codon recognition, and the 3' end, to which the tRNAs corresponding amino acid is attached (by aminoacyl-tRNA synthetases). tRNAs cope with the degeneracy of the genetic code in two manners: having more than one tRNA (with a specific anti-codon) for a particular amino acid; and 'wobble' base-pairing, i.e. permitting non-standard base-pairing at the 3rd anti-codon position. Lineage: Eukaryota; Metazoa; Chordata; Mammalia; Artiodactyla; Camelidae. The record is from Rfam by way of RNAcentral. RNAcentral also lists the same sequence under 2 other names.